This 73-nucleotide transfer RNA is filed under the name Ailuropoda melanoleuca (giant panda). It matches the Rfam family "tRNA". Rfam says of the family: Transfer RNA (tRNA) molecules are approximately 80 nucleotides in length. Their secondary structure includes four short double-helical elements and three loops (D, anti-codon, and T loops). Further hydrogen bonds mediate the characteristic L-shaped molecular structure. tRNAs have two regions of fundamental functional importance: the anti-codon, which is responsible for specific mRNA codon recognition, and the 3' end, to which the tRNAs corresponding amino acid is attached (by aminoacyl-tRNA synthetases). tRNAs cope with the degeneracy of the genetic code in two manners: having more than one tRNA (with a specific anti-codon) for a particular amino acid; and 'wobble' base-pairing, i.e. permitting non-standard base-pairing at the 3rd anti-codon position. Lineage: Eukaryota; Metazoa; Chordata; Mammalia; Carnivora; Ursidae. The record is from Rfam by way of RNAcentral.
ACCUAGUUGGCUCAGUUGGAAGAGCAUGUAAUUCUUGAUCUUGGGGUCAUGAGUUUAAGCCUCAUGCUGGGUG